Molecule: ribosomal RNA, 496 nt
Filed under: uncultured bacterium
Lineage: Bacteria
Description: partial 16S ribosomal RNA
Rfam family: Bacterial small subunit ribosomal RNA
Source: RNAcentral
GACGAACGCUGGCGGCGUGCCUAAUACAUGCAAGUUGAGCGAUGAAGAUUGGUGCUUGCACCAAUUUGAAGAGCAGCGAACGGGUGAGUAACGCGUGGGGAAUCUGCCUUUGAGCGGGGGACAACAUUUGGAAACGAAUGCUAAUACCGCAUAACAACUUUAAACAUAAGUUUUAAGUUUGAAAGAUGCAAUUGCAUCACUCAAAGAUGAUCCCGCGUUGUAUUAGCUAGUUGGUGAGGUAAAGGCUCACCAAGGCGAUGAUACAUAGCCGACCUGAGAGGGGGUCCGGCCAAUUUGGAAUGGGGAAACGGCCCAAACUCCAACGGAGGGCACAGGAGGGGAAUUUCCGGAAUGGACGAAAGUCUGACCGAGCAACGCCGCGUGAGUGAAGAAGGUUUUCGGAUCGUAAAACUCUGUUGGUAGAGAAGAACGUUGGUGAGAGUGGAAAGCUCAUCAAGUGACGGUAACUACCCAGAAAGGGACGGCUAACUACGUG